This 459-nucleotide ribosomal RNA is filed under the name uncultured bacterium. Its description in RNAcentral is "partial 16S ribosomal RNA". It matches the Rfam family "Bacterial small subunit ribosomal RNA", at positions 338 to 795 of the family's 1533-position model. The record is from RNAcentral.
CCUACGGGUGGCUGCAGUGAGGAAUAUUGGUCAAUGGACGAGAGUCUGAACCAGCCAAGUAGCGUGAAGGAUGACUGCCCUAUGGGUUGUAAACUUCUUUUGCACGGGGAUAACACCCUCCACUUGUGGAGGUCUGCAGGUACCGUGCGAAUAAGGGCCGGCUAAUUCCGUGCCAGCAGCCGCGGUAAUACGGAAGGCCCGAGCGUUAUCCGGAUUCAUUGGGCUUAAAGGGAGGGUAGGCGGGCGUUCAAGUCAGCUGUAAAAUCGCGCGGCUCAACCGCGCCCCGCAGUUGAAACUGGACGCCUUGAGUUCACAACAGGCAGGCGGAAUGCGUGGUGUAGCGGUGAAAUGCAUAGAUAUCACGAGGAACCCCGAUUGCGAAGGCAGCCUGCCGGGGUGCGACUGACGCUGAGGCUCGAAGGUGCGGGUAGCAAACAGGAUUAGAUACCCUAGUAGUC